Molecule: non-coding RNA, 73 nt
Organism: Trichonephila clavipes
Lineage: Eukaryota; Metazoa; Arthropoda; Arachnida; Araneae; Nephilidae
Source: the annotation of a GenBank genome assembly
GUCCCUGUUGCGCAAUGAAUAGCGCGUUGGGCUUCUAAUCCAAAGGUCGUGGGUUCGGUUUCCAUCAGGGAUG